GGCAAGCUUUGUCUCCUUCGAUUCAUUAAUUAUAUAAACAGGAAAAACCCCACUUUAAUUUUAUUGUUAUUAGAGGUUACUCAGUACAAUGUGUUAAUGAUUACAACCCUUGCAAAACUGCCACAUGCAUUGUAUCCAAAAAUAUAAUAAAAUAAAAUCCAAGACAUUUAUGAUUGAUCUUAUUGCUCCUUUCCAUAUUGCACUACGUGGCCUGUUUAAACUUUGUUUUUUAUCAAUCAACCAACCCAAAAUGUGGUUCCGAGCCAGCCGUAGCCAGGCCUCUAUCUUAAGCCAAUGUUGGUGCAUUAAAAAAAUAUUAAAAAAAUUCAUAACCUUGACAAUAUAUGGCAAACAGUUGUCAGAGCUGCAACAUGGAUCUUUUACAGUGUUUUGGCUCAAUCCUGGCAGACUAAAUGAUUCUUGGCCACGUGACAUCAUGAUCCUGUUGGAUUUGGUUGAGAAAAUUUUGAUUUUUAGGUUAGCACCGUCCAUACAAAAUUUAAGCUCACAGUAGCCAAUCUGUGAGAACUAUACUAUUGUUUUCAAAGGGACAUCACGUCCCACUGAGAAUUGAUUACUCUUGUUCACCGCAAAGAAAGUGUCCGGUCCAUUUCAGCCACACACUUGUACGUCCUAGUUUCUUUAAGUUUCUGAGACUACUUUUUGUGGUGUGACACGAUGGCUUCCUGGAUUUUCUUUUGAUCAUAAAUACGCAUGAUGUUCAUGCCAGUGACAAUCAAAAAGCAUCCAACAAUAAUAUGAUCCAACAAUAAUAUGAUCCUGAUUAAUUUCUUCCCUUUCAUAUCGAAGGGAAUCAAAUCACUUGAGGGUUGACUCUGGGUGGAAUGUGGCAGAACCUAUUCUCCUCCUCCAUGUCUAAUUUCAAACAUAUCAGUCUUUGGGUGUCUUCACUCUUGUGCUCUAAAUUUUGAUCUCCCUGUGAAUUAUUGGAGAAAUAUGAUCGUUAUCCUGACUCUGUUUUGGAAUAUCAUCAGCAUUAUCAGCGCUGAUAUCACCAGAUGGACAAUCAUACCACCCUUCUCUCAUUUUCAUCUUUCGCGACGGACUUUUUGACACAUCCAUCAUCAUUCCUUGAUCUCUUCU
This 1104-nucleotide unclassified non-coding RNA is filed under the name Hevea brasiliensis (rubber tree). Lineage: Eukaryota; Viridiplantae; Streptophyta; Magnoliopsida; Malpighiales; Euphorbiaceae. The record is from RNAcentral.